GCUUUAUAUACAAUUUAAGUUUGAUUGGUUUAAAUAUAAAGGUUGAAUUUAAUUGUUUUAUUUUGUUGGGGUGAUGUGAGUAUAAUUUUGGUUAACUGCUUAUAAAGAACCCUUUUGUAAGAGAUUAAAGUGAUAGAUGAUCCUUUUUAAAGAUUAAAAGACUAAGUU
RNAcentral lists this ribosomal RNA (168 nucleotides) under Pilodius areolatus. RNAcentral describes it as "partial 16S ribosomal RNA". Lineage: Eukaryota; Metazoa; Arthropoda; Malacostraca; Decapoda; Xanthidae. The record is from RNAcentral.